This is a long non-coding RNA of Ostrea edulis (European flat oyster), 2464 nucleotides long. RefSeq lists it as uncharacterized. The transcript is spliced from 2 exons. The record is from RefSeq and is a predicted model, not a curated record. Lineage: Eukaryota; Metazoa; Mollusca; Bivalvia; Ostreida; Ostreidae.
CUCACACUACGUGUAUACCCUAUCAGUAAUUAGACUGUUUUAUACUCACACUACGUGUAUACCCUAUCAGUAAUUAGACUGUUUUAUACUCACGUGCCCGUGUUGUAAGUAAUAGGAAUAGGAAUGUUUUAAUUCUCACACUACGUGCACGUGUUAUCAGUUAUAAGACUGUUUUUAUUCUCACAGACCGUCUACCUGUUGUGUGGAUCCCUGCUGUUCAUAAGACUUUCCUCCCUCCCCGUUAUAAAACCAAGAAGAGCUGACUGCAGGUAUCUUGAACAUGGAUCGAAGCCUUAUUUCAUUGGAAGUACACACUUAAUAUGUCUCAUGUAAAAUGCAGGUAUCGAGUUAGCUAAAGAUUUAAUUACAUCUGGGAGAAGAAAGAGAGCUCUUCAGGUUCAGGAGAUAGAUAUGUCACAUUCCUAUCUGUAUUAUGACGGAGUGUUAUUAGAAUUCGGAGUAAAUGGAACAAGAAUAGAACCAGAGGGUCUACCAAUGUUCUCUCAGAGUUGUCCCUCUGCUUAUCUCCCUUUGCCGGCCGGGUUUUCUUAUUUAUCUGUGGACUGUGUUGUGAAAUGUGCUAUGAAUUAUCAUCUGCGGUUUGGAAAUUACAAACUCUUCACAAACAACUGUAACACAUUUACAAACAGACUGUCGGAUAUUCUCUGUCAUGAAAUCCACUGUCCGUCCUGGUGUUAGAAACAUUAAGAGACAGAGAGUUCCUUGUUAGGUAUCCGUGCUGAAUCAGGGAAAUAAGAGAUACAUGUAAAUAGUAUAUCGUCUAUAGUAAACUCAUGUGAUGUAUAUACAUACUGUACAUAUUAUCUAUGUUUUAUUUGGUAGAAAUAGUUUGGUCAAUCUAUAUAAUUAUUUUUUCUCGUGUACUGAAAUUAAACAGUAGUCUGGGCAUGUCUUGAUGGUGAUCGCUUUUUAUCUGUCACACGUGAUGAAAGGAAUGUACAUGAUAAGUGUUCUAUUUGCCCAUCAAAUUUGUUUCAACAUUAAGAUGACGGUUUGCCGCCAUUUUCAGUAGUUUGACAUGAAAUUGUUAUUUUCGUGCAGUUGUCCUUUUAGAAACAUUAAACGCAAGCCUGGAUAAACUUUGUAUUUAAUCUAUUUAUACCAUAGCCUUUUCUCUCCAAUACAUGAAUUUGAUUGUUUAAAGCUCCGUUCUAUGUUUUCUAUACAUGAAAAUGUUCAUGAAAAUAAGUAUUCUGAUUAAAUGUUAAUUUCUUUUAAAUGCCUCUCUUUCAAUGCUAUGUACUUCGAUCAAAGACAGAUCAUAGCUCUGUGCUGUUUGACAUCUUUCUUUGAAGUAAAAUGUUUCGUCUUUCAUUAAAGUGUUAGAAGUUUGACGUGGAUCAUAACAUUAUCCUGUCCAGAUUUUGUGCUAUCUCUGUUCUACAUGACAUUUAGGAGAUUGAUCACCGUUCGUUAUCUUAACCUUUUUCAUAGCACUGAUUACAUAUUUAGAACAAUAUAAUUGACUGCGGGUCUGAAACCUGACUUCACAUAAAAAUGUUUGAAAUAGUCGCCAAGGACAGGAAAGAGGGAAUUUUUUGAUAUCGAUUUCAUUGAAAUUGUUGAUUCUUUGAUAUAUCGAUAUCCGAUCAAAAUAUAUAACAAGAACACCUAUUGAUACAAGCGUCGAAUUCGGCCUCAUCUACUUUGUAACUAUCAAAACAAUGUAAAGUGAAAAUAGAAGAUAACGAACAGUGAUCAAUCUCAUAAAUACAUGUACCAUAAAGAAUACGAAAUUGAGAGUAGGGCAAACACGCCCCCUAGAAAUAUCAGAGGAGGAAGCUUCCCCUGUUAACUGGCAAAUUACACAACGAAAGCCAAUAAAUCCUUCAUGUCUUAAAUUGAAGCUUAUUUUUCUCUGCAUUAGUCUUUCACAUUUUAGAUAAAGUCUUGCUUUAGAUAAUAUUCCACUGUUUUCAGUAGCUUCAAUUUCUAAAGACAUAAAAAAAUACUUACAUGUAAAAUGUAUUUAUUAAUAUAUAUUUAUAAAAUACCAAUUUCAAGUUUUAAUGAAUAUAUAUAUAUAUAUAUAUAUAUAUAUAUAUAUAUAUAUAUAUAUAUAUAUUAAAAAGUAACUUAUCUAUACUUGGAAAUUAACAAAUUUUGCCAAUAAACCCCGAAACCCUUGCUCCAGAGUUAUUACUUGCACUUUUAAUAUUGUUUCACAUGUGAGGUGAAAUCCGGAAGCUAUUGUAUAAUCUUACUUCAUUGGUAAAUAUCGUAAAAUUGAUUAAAAAUCUUUCAUUUUCGAUAAAGUACCCUGGAAUAGGAAAAAUGAGAAAAAAAAUGAGAAAAAAGUGGCAGAUGUAAGCCAGUUUUUUAAAAAAAAAAUGAAAACUUAAGACAAUACGAUGUGAAGUAAAUCUGUUGUUUAUCGAUGCUUGAUUUUGAUCUUACAGUAGAAAUAAGUUUUGAUAGUUGUUGAAUAAAUAAAAUAUGCCUG